UACGAAGGGGGCUAGCGUUGCUCGGAAUCAUUGGGCGUAAAGCGCGCGUAGGCGGCCCGGUAAGUCCGCUGUGAAAGUCAAAGGCUCAACCUUUGAAUGUCAGCGGAUACUGCCGGGCUAGAGUCCGGAAGAGGCGAGUGGAAUUCCUGGUGUAGCGGUGGAAUGCGCAGAUAUCAGGAGGAACACCAACGGCGAAGGCAGCUCGCUGGGACGGUACUGACGCUGAGGCGCGAAAGCGUGGGGAGCGAACAGG
Molecule: ribosomal RNA, 253 nt
Filed under: uncultured bacterium
Lineage: Bacteria
Description: partial 16S ribosomal RNA
Rfam family: Bacterial small subunit ribosomal RNA
Source: RNAcentral